GUGGAAUACUUGUGUAAAGAGUAGAAAAGUCAAAUGUUUUAGUACUGUUACAAGAUGAAAGAGAUUUAGAUUGUAUGUACUCUAAAAGAUUUUUGGAAUUUUUAAGUAUCCACAUCUGAUUCACGCCACCUCUAGAAUAGGCAGUUUCACAAUAACUUUGAAGCCCGUCUUUGAUUGCUGAUAAAAUAGAUGUUAAUAAUUUAGAAAGAGGUUUCGUGGAGCACUUGGAAGACCCAGCAAUAUACCGUUGUUUGUAAGGACACUAAUGUAGUUUAGGUAUCCAAUACAGUGAUGGAAGAUCCAGUUCUUU
This 310-nucleotide long non-coding RNA is filed under the name Mytilus galloprovincialis (Mediterranean mussel). Lineage: Eukaryota; Metazoa; Mollusca; Bivalvia; Mytilida; Mytilidae. The record is from RNAcentral.